Molecule: transfer-messenger RNA, 383 nt
Filed under: uncultured bacterium
Lineage: Bacteria
Description: partial tmRNA
Rfam family: transfer-messenger RNA
About the family: Bacterial tmRNA, also known as 10Sa RNA or SsrA, is named for its dual tRNA and mRNA-like properties. Its role is to liberate the mRNA from a stalled ribosome. To accomplish this part of the tmRNA is used as a reading frame that ends in a translation stop signal.
Source: RNAcentral
UGGGGCUGAUUCUGGAUUCGACAAGAUUCACGAAACCCAAGGUGCAUGCCGAGGUGCGGUAGGCCUCGUUAACAAACCGCAAAAAAAUAGUCGCAAACGACGAAAACUACGCACUCGCAGCUUAAUAACCUGCGCUGAGCCCUUCUACCCUAGCUUGCCUGUGUCCUAGGGAAUCGGAAGGUCAUCCUUCACAGGAUCGUGUGGAAGUCCUGCUCGGGGCGGAAGCAUUAAAACCAAUCGAGCUAGUCAAUUCGUGGCGUGUCUCUCCGCAGCGGGUUGGCGAAUGUAAAGAGUGACUAAGCAUGUAGUACCGAGGAUGUAGUAAUUUUGGACGGGGGUUCAACUCCCCCCAGCAAGGGCGAAUUCGCGGCCGCUAAAUUCAA